RNAcentral lists this ribosomal RNA (331 nucleotides) under uncultured eukaryote. Its description in RNAcentral is "partial 18S ribosomal RNA". It matches the Rfam family "Eukaryotic small subunit ribosomal RNA", at positions 1470 to 1796 of the family's 1831-position model. The record is from RNAcentral.
CCCUUAGAUGUUCUGGGCCGCACGCGCGCUACACUGUUCGACGCAGCGAGUCUUAACCUUGACCGAAAGGUUUGGGUAAUCUUCAGCAAAGUCGAACGUGAUGGGGAUCGAUCAUUGCAAUUAUUGAUCGUGAACGAGGAAUUCCUAGUAAGUGCAAGUCAUCAGCUUGCGCUGAUUACGUCCCUGCCCUUUGUACACACCGCCCGUCGCUACUACCGAUUGAAUGGUUUAGUGAGAUCUCUGUAUUGACGCUGGCUAGGGGGCGACCCUUGGCCAGACUGUUGAGAAACUGCUCAAACUUGAUCAUUUAGAGGAAGUAAAAGUCGUAACA